GAUGAACGCUGGCGGCGUGCUUAACACAUGCAAGUCGAACGAAGCAGCUGAGAUAGAUGGGUGGAGAAGUGGCGAACGGAUGAGUAAGUGGCGAGUAGGUUGGUAACAACUGUGGGAUAAGCCUGGGAAAGUGGGAUUACUACCGGAAAGGAGUGUUAACCGCGCGGAAGGGGACAGAGAGACUUAACGGUGUGGGAUAAACUCGCGCCCUAUCAGAUUGUUGGUGGGGUAAUGGCCUACCAAGGCGACGACGAGUAGCCGGCCCGAGAGGGUGACGGGCCACACUGGGACUGAGACACGGCCCAGACUCCUACUGGAAGCAGCAGUGGGGAAUAUUGCACAAUGGGCGCAAGCCAAAUGCAGCGACGCCGCGUGAGGGGUGACGGCCUUCGAGUUGUAAACCUCUUUCAGUAGGGAAGAAGCGAAAGUGACGGUACCUGCAGAAGAAGCACCGGCUAACUACGUG
RNAcentral lists this ribosomal RNA (466 nucleotides) under uncultured bacterium. RNAcentral's name for it is "partial 16S ribosomal RNA". It matches the Rfam family "Bacterial small subunit ribosomal RNA", at positions 28 to 507 of the family's 1533-position model. The record is from RNAcentral.